UGGGAUGUGUUUUCCUUUACACGGGCCAAGGGAAAUUUCAUGCUAGCACAACAGAUACUUUGGACUAUGUGGUGAGGCAGGCAAAUUUCACGGCGGAAAACCUCAGGAAUGUGUCGGAUUAUCUCAAUGCAGCUAAGAAGGUGGAUGUGCAAUCCAUCGUUCUUCCAGGGGAUGUUUUAUCGAGCAUCGACAACAUACAAGGAAAGAUCAACUCCUCUGCAACUACUCUUUCUGUUCAAACAAUGGAGAACCAAGACAGGAUUCAAGAUGUCUUGGACAACAUGUAAAAAAAUACACAAUACCAUAGUGUUAUCCUUUUUAUUUUCUUCACCUUUUUUUGCUUAUGAUUUGUUGCAGGAGACUUGCGCUCAUCAUCAUCGCUGCUGUGAUGCUUUUUCUAGCGUUCAUUGGAUUCUGUAAGUCUAGGGAUUAUUAUUAUUGAUUACAUCUCGCAGCAGCACUUUAACUUGUUGAUUAUUUUUAUUGUUGUUACAGUACUCUCUAUCUUUGGACUGCAGUGCCUUGUAUACACGUAAGUGAAGUCUCAUUCUCAUUUUCCACGUGUUACCGUUUUAUGCUGAUAAAAAAUUACUUUGUGAUUUAACAAUGGACAGGUUAGUGAUCCUUGGUUGGAUUCUUGUCACCGGCACUUUCGUCUUAUGUGGUCUAUUUCUCCUUCUACACAAGUGAGUUUUUUGUUCAAUUUGUCUUACUCAAUGCAUUAAAAAAGGUUUCUCAAUAAAAGCAUUUCUUAUGCCUUUGUCAGCGUUGUUGGGGAUACGUGUGUGGCCAUGGACCAAUGGGUGCAACACCCGAAAGCUCACACCGCUCUAGACGAUAUUCUACCGUGCGUUGAUAACGCAACCGCGACCGAAACAUUGAGUCAGACAAAGCUUGUGACGUACCAGUUGGUUGAAAUUGUUGACAAUUUCAUGAACACCAUCGCCAACAAGAACUUCCCGCCUCAAGCCCGACCCCUUUAUUACAACCAGUCAGGCCCCCUAAUGCCUUUGCUCUGUAACCCCUUCAAUGCUGAUCUCUCUGACCACCUGUGCAAGCCCGGUGAGGUCCAUCUCAGCAAUGCAACUGAGGUAAAUUAAAUACUAAUUUAAAACAGAACAUAUCUUUGUAUAUUUUGUUUUGUUUCAUAAUGUUUCUUAUGGUAUGUUUUUUUUAUGCAGGUGUGGAAGAACUACACUUGCGAAUAUAUAACACCGGGAAUAUGUAGCACGCCCGGACGUCUGACCCCAAACCAUUACACCCAGAUGGCUGCAGCAGUUAACGUAAGCUAUGGUCUGUACAAGUAUGGUCCAUUCCUGGCAGAUCUGCGAGGGUGUAACUUCGUAAGGUCCACAUUCACUGAUAUAGAGAGGGAUCAUUGCCCGGGACUGAGGAGAUACACGCAGUGGAUCUACGUGGGUCUUGUGCUGGUGUCUACUGCUGUAAUGCUGUCUUUGGUGUUUUGGGUUGUAUACGCGCGGGAGAGGAGGCACCGUGUUUACACCAAAGACUACAAUGCUAUGCAUUCUGAAGCUCCACGGGACAAGGGUCCGCAGUGAGAUGUUCUGUACUUUUUGCCAGUUUUAUGUAAAUUAUGUGUUUGAGAUGUCUGGUGAGAUCUUUUGUGUAGUGAAUAAUGGAAGGAAACUGUGGUUGUGUGGUUGUUGUCACUAAUGUUCUUUAUAAUUGAUAUGUUGAGAACUACUUCGAAAUUGGAGAUGUACUGUUUUGUGGAAGUACAACCCAUCUUUGUGUUUCUUGUCGGAGAGGACAAAUCUUCAAUUCUUUAUUACUAGUAUUGCUUACCAAAAGCAUUUCUUUAUGAGCUGAUACUAGUUUCGAUAGCUGUAAUGUCUUUGAUCACUUGAAGAUGGGGGACUGAACCUAGAGGCUACUAGUACUCAUAGCACUUUGAAUGGUCGAUAAUUUCUUCACCUAAAGUUAAUGAAGAGCCUUAUGUUGUGCGUUACAACUACUUACGAGUGUAACCUCGUUUGUUGGUGUUGAAUGGGUUCACGUAAGAGAAAAGAGUAAUAUUCCUAGUGAUUGAAGGAGGCUGUUCAAAAAAAAAAAACAAAGAGAUAAAAAGUGCUCAAAUAGACUUGUUUUACAAAAUAUAACAUGACUGACUUGAAAACUCUAAACCUAACAGGUGUAUGAAAACCAAAACCAACUCCUAAUGGAUCUAAACUUACUCUUAAUGGGUUUAGUGAGAAAUUCUAAAACUUUAAAUCUUGUUUAAUCGGAGUUUAAACCAAGUGGCCCGCCCUCUAUCCUUCACAUGGGUCAGCUCAUCUUUUUCUUGGACAAACUUGAUUAAAAGUCCAAAGACUUCUUUCAAGGCUGUAGUCUUUGAUCUUGUCAUCUGUCCAAUAUAACAGACAAGUGGAUCAUGUGCUUGGUUGUCCAUCCCAUCUUGUGCCGCAGAAGUCUUAUCUUGGCUAACCACUUCUUGGGUUCGAUCCAGCUGAUAGUUAUCUAGACCGUUUUGCUGCUUAGUUCACUUUGUCGAGCAAAAUGCUCUUAUUGAUAAAUUUCCAUGUCCAGGUCUUCAUCUCCAUUUUUUGGGUCUAUGUCCGACCAUAUCGCAUCACCCGACCAUAGGUCAUAUUCCAUUUCGCGAUCGUCUGUCCUGUUCAUCUCUCGACCGUCCGUCCUUCUCAUGUCCAUUUCGUGACCACAUUUCCUUGUUCGAUCCAUUUCGUGCUGGUCCAGUCCUCAGCUGUCGGUUCAUCCAAGUAAAGCUCAUGUCGCCCAUCUCAGUCAACAUAUACCUUUGGUUCCAAUGAUGACCGCAUCAGAAAGUGCAACGUUAGCUUGAUAUAUUUGUUCAUGAUAUCCACGGAGUCUCCAAGUGAUUUCUUUUCAACAAUUGUAUUCUUAACGUAUUUUAACUCAAACCAACAAAUCCAAAAUUUAUUAGAAUUUAUAUAUCAAAUGAAAUGAUAUAAUUAAAAUGAAUUGAUAUAAAUAAAAUGAUUUUUAUAAAAAUGUUAUCCUAACUUUAUUAAAAUUUAAAUUAAAUUAAACAGAAAUAAUUAAACUAAUAUAAAAAACAAGACUACAAAAAUAUAUUUAUAGUUUUUUUUUCAAACCAAUGAAGUUAAAGCAUAGAAAUACUAGUGUCAAAAUCUAAAUUAAAAUUUUAAAAAUAAAUAAUAUAUUAUAUUUAUAGUUGUUAUUUGUGGACAUGGCUCAUAAAAACUCUUAUAAAGGCUGGCUUAAUCUACAGACUACAGAUGAAAAAAAACUCCUUUAAAUACAAAAACCCUACAGGGACGAAAAUUUAGGGUACUUGACCGGAUCUAAGCUAUUCAGGUUUUCCACACUCCCUUUUUUAUCUCUCUUUAUCUGUCUCCUCCUCCCCUGUAGACUUUGGCUUUCUGUCUCCUCAUCUCUUACUGUGAGUCCUUUUCGAGUAGAUAUGGAAGUGGCUGCCCUCAGGUCGAUGGAGACGCAGAGACAAUGGACUUGUUCUGCCACUGAGACGCUUCUCUUCCUCGUUGGAAGGAAUCUGGCUUGUCUGCUUCUCGCGGUAUACAACUGUUUCCUUAAUUUUAAUUUAUAACUCUUGUUUCACUUUGUGUUCUGUUGGAUUUGUCAUUUAUUCAAAAACCGUCCAUCCUGGAGUUGUCUCUGUGUUCCUGAAUCCAAGGCUUAUUAGAUUUUCUUAGAUUUUCUGCUUUAGGGAUACGAUUUGGGAUGGAUUUUGUUGUUUGAAUUUAGACAAGCACUUUAGCUUCUGUUAUGUCUUAAUUGGUUCGAGACGGGUCUUUGUACAAUUGAAGUUGAAUGCAGAGUUUAACAAUGUCAAAUGUACACUCUGUUAACUUGUCACGUUUACUUUUUGUCUAUUUGCAAUUGCUAUUUAUAUUGAUAUUUAUAUAAGGAUGUGCUCUUCUUGGAUUUUGUAUGAUAUAGUAAACACACAAAGACGAGUCUGCCUUUGAAAAUGUUUAAACCCUUACAGAUUGACUUUAGGUUUAUUUUGUGUACCUUUUAAGCUUCCUUUUGUGAUUUCAAUGUUUGUUUGUUAUGUGCUAUAUUGACAUUUGCCAUUUUUCAUGAUCCUUUUUAACUUGUGUUCUCGCUGAACUUUGCAUUAAUACACUAUGGAUAGUUCAGUAUUGUAUAAAAUUUCAUAAAACCUUGUCUAACAUUCAUCUUUUUGUUCUGUGAUAUCGCAGGCAGAAUCUUUGCUGAUAGGGUUGAUUGCUGAAGAUCAGAGGUGAGCAUAAGGGCCACACUUUUCAUUUUUCCCCUUCUUUUAGAUUGUAGCAGAUUUGAAUUUGACUUGUCUCUAGGCUUUCUGUGAAGGAGGGCUACAAAAAAGGACACCGAGAUGAGGAAAAUAAAGAUGCCAGUGACUCUGAUGAUGAUGACGAUGAUGAUGAGGACAACGCUGAUGAAGACGAUGAUGAUGAUGAUGAUGAUGCUAAUGAUGAAGAUUUUUCAGGGGGUGAAGGAGAGGAAGCUGAUCCGGAGGAUGACCCGGUGACCAAUGGUGGGGGAGGAAGCGAUGAUAAUGAUGAUGAUGACGAUGACGGGGAUGAGAGUGGUGAUGAUGAUGGAGAUGAGGAUGAGGAGGACGAAGAUGAGGAUGAUGAGGAAGAUGACGAAGAUGUUCGCCAGCCGCCUGCUAAGAAGAGAAAAUGAAACAUGAGAAAGAGGGGAUUGUUCAAGACUUGAAGAGGACCAUAUGUGUUGGUUUAAGUAGUGUAGGGGAAACUUAUGCUUCAUGUUGUGUACUAUUUGUUGUCGUGUGUGACUUGUCUACUUGGAUUUUAGUUAUCUUGGCUGUUGUAGAAUGUUGUUCUCUUCUUUUUGUUUUUGCAUCUGCCUAUGAAUAUGAUUCGCCGUGCUUCACAUUUUCUUUGUUGUUGCAAUUUUUCUUUCCAUUGUUUCAAAUGUUUAAAAGGAAACUCCACCAACACUAUACUAUGUUUCAUGUAUCCCAUCACGUUCUCACAUUACUUGGACCAUAGGAACUCUCUUCAUUCUAAUCAGUUCGUUUGGAUUGCUUGUCACUUGUAUGGGUUUUCUUGAGUUGACAAACCAGACAACAAGUAUUCACGUGGUUGUGGUUGCGAGACAACUAACUUUGGGUUCUUCAACAAUAUCCUAGUCUAGGAUUUAGUUCUACCAUACCGCCGGACCAUUUAGAUCAUGUCGGUUUAGGAUCGAUCUUGCCUUUUUCGAUGAGCCGGAUCGAUUUCGGUUUAGUUGAACAAAGUGUGUUCGGACUCUGAUACCAUGUUAGGAGAAGAUGGUUUUCAGAUAUCUCAAUUGAGUUUACACGAUACAAUAUAUACAGAGAGGUAGGAGACACUAGGUUAACAUAAUUACAAAUGUUCCAUAUUUGGAAGAGAAGAAUAUUGCAGCCUUUUGAAGAAGCUAACCCAGCAUUGGUGUCACACUUGUGAGUUUAACAAUCAGGAAAAGUCUCAUUGAAGUCUAUUUCCCCCUUGUUAGGUGAACCCAUUUGCUACUAGGCCAAAUUAUACAUUUGUACCAUCAUAAUUGGACUUAAUAGUUAAAUCCAUUUAGACCCAAUAACAUUUUUUUCAUAACCUUUUCUUGUUCAGCACACUAAAAAUAAAUGUAAAUGUGAUAGAUAUUACAAAUGAUUGAUUAAAGAAUGACAAUGCAUAUACAAAUGUUACAAAAGCUGAUCAAAGAAUGACAGUGCACUAGACAAUAUACAAGCAUAACGAUUCAUGAAAUAAGAGGAAUAUGAAGGCUAAAGUAGAAGUAGUCAGUAGGAAUAAUCAUUAUAAAGUUGAAUACGUUUUUGCUGCUGUUGAGAUAGAUGAUGUAUAUCCUUAACAAUGUCGAACACUGCCUCAGGCUGCGCCAACUUAAGAGCAUUCUCUGACAUUUUAUAUAAUUCGUUUUUCUUGCUGCUGAACCAAUAAUGACCUUCAAUUAAUGACGAGACAACAAAAGUUUCUGCAGAAAAAGUCUACAGUAACAACUUUAUAGUUACAACCGAUUUAUUUACAGCUAAACAUCUACAGUUAAAUUUUUAAAGCUACGGUCGAACCGAUCAUCACCAAUAAUUUAUAAAUUGAUUAACUAGUAAACAGCUUUAUAAAAUAUUGAAAAUGCUUUAUUAACCGAGACAAAGCAAACGUGAGACAACCAUGAAUAUAAUUAAUAGAAAAAAACUAAAAUAAUUAAAAAUUAAAAGUUACCGUAGAAUAACUAACCUAAAUCUAAAAAUACUAGUUCAACUUUUAAUACAUAAAAUUUUGUUUGAUGUUGAAUUAAUACUUUAGUUUAGCAAUUUUUAAAAAUGGAUAGCUUAAAAUUAACUUAUAUAUAAUACAUUGUAAUUCAAACAUAAGUUAAAAAUAAUUAUUUUGAAUUAUAUCUCUAAAGCAAACUUAAACAAUAAUAAUUCAUAUCACCAGUCAAAGCCUAUAUUAAAAAAAUAGAAAUAAUCAUAAAAAGAAAGAGGCAGCGCAUCAUUCCAACAGAAUUAAAAACUACAUUGGAAAUAAAUAAAAAGAAAGAAAUCAGGGAAAUGUGAUUCGAGGAAGAGAAGAAAACCGCGUCAAGCGGGAUAUCAAAUCAAUCGUGUUGUUAACACGUCUGCCAUUGAUUCUCUAUCACGAUUCGAUUAAAACAUAAAAACACUGAAACGAGAGAAUAUACAAAAAAAAUAAAAACAAUCUCGAAAAACACAAAGACAGAAUGUUGUGUUCCAGAUCUAAAACAGUGUUCGUACUUUUCUCAUUCCUUCUUGUCGCCACUGGAAUAUCUAUUGCUGGUAAGAAAGAAAGAAAGAAAGAAAGAAAAAAUAAUUCAACAUUCUUGUAUUUUGAUUUUGUCUCUGUUGAUAUGUUUUUACUUCUAAUUUUGGGUUUGGAUGGUUUCAGAAAAGGAAGCAGCAAGUGUUGAAGAAGAAUGGGGGACAAGUGUGAAAGAAAGGUUUAUGGCAGAGGAAAAAGGAGAGAACUCGUCUCUGAUUUUGGCUGCAAACAGAACAAAGAGGAAAGACCCUACUGAGAAUUUCAACAUUUACACUGGUGGAUGGAACAUAAGCAAUACCCAUUAUUGGACUGUGAGUCCUUUCUUUUAUUUUCUGUGGUCCUAAGUUUUCUCUGUUGCUAGUGGAGUUUGUUUGCUUAAUCAAACGGGAUUAGCAUUCAUUAGUUCUCUCUCUUUUUGAAGCUUUUUUGACUUUUUUUUUUCUCAUUCUUUGCUUUGUGUGUGCAUGCAGUCUGUUGCUUAUACAGCGACGCCUUUCUUUGUGAUAGCAGGAGUCUGGUUUGUGGUCUUCGGGCUAUCCUUGUCUCUCAUUUGCCUUUGCUAUUGCUGCUGUGCCCGUCAGCCUUACGGCUAUUCCAGGGUUGCUUAUGCUCUCUCCCUUAUCCUCCUCAUAUUAUUCACAAUCGCUGCAAUGUAAAUUGUCUUUUCUCUGGCUCUUUUUUUUGUCAUUCUUUUUUUUAAUUAAAAUAAGCUUUUUGUGUUUGAUAUUUUCCAGUGUGGGAUGUGUUUUCCUUUACACGGGCCAAGGGAAAUUUCAUGCUAGCACAACAGAUACUUUGGACUAUGUGGUGAGGCAGGCAAAUUUCACGGCGGAAAACCUCAGGAAUGUGUCGGAUUAUCUCAAUGCAGCUAAGAAGGUGGAUGUGCAAUCCAUCGUUCUUCCAGGGGAUGUUUUAUCGAGCAUCGACAACAUACAAGGAAAGAUCAACUCCUCUGCAACUACUCUUUCUGUUCAAACAAUGGAG
Molecule: long non-coding RNA, 7739 nt
Filed under: Brassica napus (rape)
Lineage: Eukaryota; Viridiplantae; Streptophyta; Magnoliopsida; Brassicales; Brassicaceae
Description: long non-coding RNA (BNAP_LNC007360)
Source: RNAcentral